AGUCCAUGAUGAGGAAAUUUUCUAAACAUCUCUUUAAAUCUCUUCCAAGCCUCACUUAGUGUCUCAUCUUCAAACGGUUGAAAAACAACUAUUUCAUUUCUGAACC
Cucurbita pepo subsp. pepo (vegetable marrow) is the source of this 106-nucleotide small nucleolar RNA. NCBI's taxonomy places the organism in Eukaryota, Viridiplantae, Streptophyta, Magnoliopsida, Cucurbitales, Cucurbitaceae. The record is from RefSeq and is a predicted model, not a curated record.